Esox lucius (northern pike) is the source of this 4722-nucleotide long non-coding RNA. NCBI's taxonomy places the organism in Eukaryota, Metazoa, Chordata, Actinopteri, Esociformes, Esocidae. The record is from Ensembl.
GUUAGAACCUCUGUGUGUCAGGACAGGAUCCAGUGAUCAUGUUAGAACCUCUGUGUGUCAGGAUAGGCAAGGCAGGCAAGGCAAUUUUAUUUAUAUAGCACAUUUCAUACACAAUGGUCAUUCAAAGUCUGUCAGGAUAGGAUCCAGUGAGCAUGUUAGAACCUCUGUGUGUCAGGACAGGAUCCAGUGAUCAUGUUAGAACCUCUAUGACAGGACAGGAUCCAGUGAGCAUGUUAGAACCUCUGUGUGUCAGGACAGGAUCCAGUGAGCAUGUUAGAACCUCUGUGUGUCAGGACAGGAUCCAGUGAGCAUGUUAGAACCUCUGUGUGUCAGGACAGGAUCCAGUGAGCAUGUUAGAACCUCUGUAUGUCAGGACAGGAUCCAGUGAGCAUGUUAGAACCUCUGUGUGUCAGGACAGGAUCCAGUGAGCAUGUUAGAACCUCUGUGUGUCAGGAUAGGAUCCAGUGAGCAUGUUAGAACCUCUGUGUGUCAGGACAGGAUCCAGUGAGCAUGUUAGAACCUCUGUGUGUCAGGACAGGAUCCAGUGAUCAUGUUAGAACCUUUGUGUGUCAGGAUAGGCAAAGCAGGCAAGGCAAUUUUAUUUAUAUAGCACAUUUCAUACACAAUGGUCAUUCAAAGUGUGUCAGGACAGGAUCCAGUGAGCAUGUUAGAACCUCUGUGUGUCAGGACAGGAUCCAGUGAUCAUGUUAGAACCUCUGUGUGUCAGGACAGGAUCCAGUGAGCAUGUUAGAACCUCUAUGACAGGACAGGAUCCAGUGAGCAUGUUAGAACCUCUGUGUGUCAGGACAGGAUCCAGUGAGCAUGUUAGAACCUCUGUGUGUCAGGACAGGAUCCAGUGAGCAUGUUAGAACCUCUGUGUGUCAGGACAGGAUCCAGUGGUCAUGUUAGAACCUCUGUGUGUCAGGACAGGAUCCAGUGCUCUUUCCCGUAUAACUGAGAUAUGCUCCUUUUAGCAAAGGGCAAUGUUUGCAUCUUUGAAAUGUUACAAAUAUGUUGGUUCAAUCAAAAAUCACCGUUAAUGGUGUGUAGCCAACAAAGUGUAUUCAGGGGAUUUUCUAUAGUCCAUUGUUUUACAUUUCUAAUCUUUUUUCUGUCAUUGUGUUUUAUGGCCAAUGUACAUUAAUGUUAGGUUCAUCUAUAUGCAGUCUUGUAUGGCUCAAAUGGUAAUGUUUAGAUAUAUUUUCAUAUAUUUAUGAAAUGUGAAUGUUUUUUUUUGUUUUGUUUUGCUUUUGUCUUAAUUGUGAAGGCUUCACUGAACAGGACCAAUAUUCUCAUAAUUCUUCUUUUCAAAAACAUGAGUUUGUAAAAAUAAACAACAUAAAAACUGACGUGUGUAAUGUAAUUUACUUUGUGUAGGUCACAUGCUUGGAAAAAUAGCAUUGAAUUACAUUUGCUGUCACGAGUCACAUGCCAUGUACAGUAGUAUGCUCUGUAGUUAUAUCCAGGUCUGUGUGAACACUGAUGUCCAGGUCAGUGUGAAGACUGAUGUCCAGGUCAGUGUGAAGACUGAUGUCCAGGUCAGUGUGAAGACUGAUGUCCAGGUCAGUGUGAAGACUGAUGUCCAGGUCAGUGUGAAGACUGAUGUCCAGGUCAGUGUGAAGACUGAUGUCCAGGUCUGCGUGAAGACUGAUGUCCAGGUCUGUGCGUGAAGACUGAUGUCCAGGUCUGCGUGAAGACUGAUGUCCAGGUCUGUGCGUGAAGACUGAUGUCCAGGUCUGCGUGAAGACUGAUGUCCAGGUCUGUGCGUGAAGACUGAUGUCCAGGUCUGCGUGAAGACUGAUGUCCAGGUCUGUGCGCGAGUUGGAUUGGUUAAACCUCAGAUGCUUUCAUUAGUAAUCUGAGUUAAAGUAAACACCCACGGGCAACCUGGCAGAUCCACAUCUGGCCACUUUGUUCUCCACUCCGUUGCAUUAUCUAUAUAUCCACACAGACAACUGAUUCAUAUUACAGAGGAUCCAGGUACAACAAAUCACAGCCUUGAGAGGUGCAACAGCUAUAUUAAACAGCACAAUCAGCGCCGGGGUGUUAGUUGUCUGGAGCCUCUGUAAUAAAGGGUUGUCUGUCUUCAGUAAAAUGUUGGUAAGCUUCAAAAACAAUUAAGAGAACACUGCACCUUUUUCUUUCCUUUUCAUAUAAGUUGAAAAGGAAAGUUUUGAGUGAGGAACAGAAACAUUCAAUUUGCAGUGGUCUAGUAAUUUUAACCCUUCUGUUCCUCACUCAAAACCUUCCUUUUUGACUUUUUUGGAAAGGAAAGAAAAAGGUGCAGUGGUCUCUUAAUUUUUUCCAGAGAUGUAUGGUUGACAGCUGCUACCCUUUCAAUGCAGUUCUUUUCCUGCGCAGGAAUCCAAACAUUUGUGUUUUUAGGGCAUGGCUGAGCAGAAAGAGAUUGGAGUCAAACUUUGACCUGAACUAAAUACAUUGUUGGCUAAAGAAGAAUGUAGGCCCAAAGUGCUGAGAGAGAAACCAGAUGAUAAGAGUAAGGAAAUGACGCUGUUAGCAAGGCCCACAUCCUGAUGAUUUGGCACAUGCUUCACCGCUAACUCAGACAAAAAAAAACACGAGACCGACAACCCAGACAGGUCUUGAGCAGUGUGUUGUGGACACUAAAUAAGUCGGUUUCAUAUAACUCAGAUUGUGACACAGUAUCUUCAGGCAUGUGUUUGCUUUAUAGGUACAGACUGUGGGAAAGAUAGACUUAUUGUUGAAAGAUUCAAUCUGAUUGACCAAGAGCAAUGAUAGCAUUUCGUCAAGCCAACCCUAACCUGGUCAGUGAUUUCUGAGAUAUCGAGGCAGUGGUGUUUAAGAAAUUGGGUCAGUGGUAUCUGAGAUAUUAGGUCAAUAGUGUUUGAGAUAUAGGUUCGGUGGUGUUUGAGAUAUCCGGUCAGUGGUGUUUGAGAUAUUGGGUCAGUGGUGUUUGAGAUAUCGGGUCAGUGGUGUUUGAGAUAUCGGGUCAGUGCUGUUUGAGAUAUCGGGUCAGCGUGUUUGAGAUAUCGGGUCAGUGCUGUUUGAGAUAUCGGGUCAGUGGUGUUUGAGAUAUCGGGUCAGCGGUGUUUCAGAUAUCGGGUCAGCGGUGUUUGAGAUAUCGGGUCAGCGGUGUUUCAGAUAUCGGGUCAGUGGUGUUUGAGAUAUCGGGUCAGUAUUUUUAUUCAAGGCCUUUUUAUUCAAGGCCAUUUGAACGGUACAACAUAUGGUUCCCUUCCUGUUGCCAUUCGUCUGUCCUGUGUAGCCAUUCACGUAUCCCCGAACUCGAAGCACAUCCGCUGACUACAAGACAUUAUUACCUGAUGGGAUGUUUUAAUCGUAUCCUGCUUUUGCAUUAUUUCCCUCUAUACAAACAGAAAAUGUUUAAAGAAAGAACAAUGAUAUAUGAUGUCAGAUGGUUCCACAGUGUGACUGCCCUGACAUUUUAAUAACUUUACCUUCUUUGACUAUGUGGUCAUAUUGACUGAUUAAUUCAUCUUAGCUACACAAACAUCAAACACAUACAUAUGUCUAAAGUCAUUUGUCUAAAGUAAUCUAAUCAUUACUCCAAAUCUUUAAGUUCCACAAACAAAUGGCUUUUGAGUGAAUAAACUUAAAUCUUUUAGUCUUUGUAGUCAGUUGCCUUACAUUUUUUGAGUUCUGAUAACUUAUUUGGGUUUACAGUGUAUGAGGCCAUUAUGAUUUAAAUAACUUCUAUACUUAACUUCUGGAAUGUUUCCCUCCUACGUGCAGUUUCCUCUCCUUUUUUUCCAGUGGUAGGGGGGUACUUGUAGUAUUUGGGGUGGUUAUUGUUGCGUUCCAUUAAUAACACAACAGGCUAGGUAGAGUGAAGGCUACAACCAUGAUUUAAAUGUAUUGCACAAACAUCCUCCCUGUACACCAGUCUCUCUUGCAGCAUUCCCUGAUAAUAACCUAUGUUCUCCCCAUCAAUGAACUAUUCUAUAAAACUGUUCAUGAAUCACCUCCCAGACUCAUAAUAAAAGCAACUAUCUAGCUACUAAUUAAUGAGGCAAUAUGAAUUCCAUGUACAGUAUAAUGUGUUGCAUUGGGAGUAAAGAAGGGGUAGAAAAUAUACCUUUCCUGGAUGUAGUGCCCCAUGAUUUAACAUUAUAUUCAUAACUUUAUCAGAAAAUGUAAAACAAUAAUAUCAUGAAUAUCAUUUUUAAUAUUAGAUAUGUUCUGUGCUUUAAUUAACUUAAACUCUAACCAUUUCUCAACUUGCUCCACUUAACUUAUAACUUAAGUACUAUUUAAAUUGUAUUUUUUUAUUUAUUUAUAUUUCUCCUGCAUAGUUAUUCCUAACAUAAUACACACUAUGCAGAUCUGCAAAAAACAUUAAAUUCAUAUCCUAUAUAUAAUGUAUCCUAUAUAUAAUGUAUCCUAUAUAUAAUGUUUAGAGUGUCCAAACCUUUGACUGGUAUUGAAUGUGUUCUGUUUCGUCUUGUCUCUCUCUGCUCGUAGGCAAAAUACAAAAAUCUGAAAUCUUCAUGUUGCCGCCAAAUGUCUAAUGUUGGCUGCAUGACAAUAAUCUAUGGUAGUUUAUUGUAGCUAUUGUUAUUUAUGUUUAUGUUAUUUUUAAUAAUUUCAUAUGUUUUGUAAAUACAUUUUGUUGUUGUGACUGUUUCUGUGAUUCUGUGUAAUUUGUGUAACUGUUGCCCCAGGGCUCCCUUGUAAAAGAGAUUUGAUUAUCUCAAUGGGACAUCCCCUGGUAAAAUAAAG